UUGAGGAUUCUUCGCCGACCUUAGACAGCCCUCAAGCUUUAUGCUAUGUCACACACACACCAAACAUCAUAACAGACCAAGCAAUAUAGAGAGAAAGAAGAAGAUAAAACAGAGCAGAGAAGAGGGAAGAAGAGAAGCACACAAACGAUUGUUCACCCUGAGUUCACCAAGUUGGCUACAUCUCAGGGGAGGGAGACUGUCCCCCAACUGCAUCCACUAAUAGAAGAAGAUAACAGAGAUUACAAGUGAUUCACUCUCAAGACUCACUCGUCGGCCACUCUCUGUUCUACUUGAGAAAAUCCCACCCAAAGCUUAAGCCUUUACAUGUUUUCUCUCACCCUUCUAUCUCCUAGAGCUACAUUGUGUCUAUCUUCUUGUGGCUUCCUAUCUCUCAUGUCUUCAUAUCACUUUAUAUAUGGGAGACAACCUCAAACCCUAGUGCAGCUAGCAAACGAGUCCUCAUCUUAUUCACAAGAGGACAAAGUAUCCUUCUUGACCAUGAAUUCAAAUGAUCCUCCUUGUGGUCCCAAAAGCUCUUCUAACUUUAGUUAAUAUAAUCAACCUUGGUUAGGACUUGAGUUUACCUUUGGUUUGCACAUGAUCCUUGUUUGGUUGCUCAUCAAGUUCUCAUAUCUUCACAAAUCUCCACCUGAGAACAUGAUGAUCAAAACCAAGCAACCUGCACAAACUUGAGAGAGUACCUUCUUCUACUUUCUUGGAUCCCAAUCUCGGCUCUUGAGUAUCAUUACUCUGCCUUGAUACUUAGCAGUUUAAAAUGCCAUAAACUUGCUUGAUCCUCGCUGCAUUUAGCUUACGUUCAAUGCACUUCAGCUGUGACUACUCACAUUGCUGAACCUGAGCCAUCAACACAUCCUUAGAUCACCAGAGUUGUGAAAACCAGCUUCAUACAAACUUGUAUUAAGCUCAACUCUUCAGUGAUCACUUCAUGAUACAUUCAACACUUGAAUUAUGAUGUUACCACUCAGCAAAAAUUUAUUAACAAGUCAAGAAAACACCUCCAGCUUGUCAAUCUCAACAGAAAACUCCAUAAGCUCCACCACCUAUGAGCUGUUCAAUCACACAUUCUCCACCACGGCUUCUGUUAAUGCCAUAAGCAUGUUACAGUGAUUGAAGUACCACUUAUCCCUCUGCAAAACCUGAUUCCCUUGCUAAAGCUUCUAGGAUUUACUCAUGCGCAUUGAGAUCAAAAUCCUUUGAAUUCACUUGAAUCAAUUGCAGAAAACUGAAUCAACUUAGCCUCAGACUUGAAGCUCUUGAUUCACCAGGUGAACAGCCUCACCAACCAGCUAAAUAUACACUAUAUAGCUAUAGACUGAACCUUUCACCUCCUGUUUAAACAACCCAGUCUUGAACAUAAACCUUGAUCAAACUCUCUGUUAAAACAGAACCACCACCAGCAGAUUUUAACCACUACUAGUUAUCUUUACACCUGUCUCAUAUCAGCAAAACCUUGUGAUAUCCCUGAGACAAACAUGUACAGCUACUUCUGCACCAAAUCUAGAACCCUUGGUGCCCUUCCAGUUGUAACCACAGACCUGCAAAACCUGCAGAACUCCACCAAACGACUUGAACCUUACCUCAUUCAAUUUCAAGACUUAAGCCAAAGCCUUUCCCUUCUUUAUCAUCAAUACUUGAAGAUACUUUACUUGAAUGACCUGCAAGCGUCUGGUCAAAUGCAAUUUGAAUUUCCUGCAUUUGCGUCUCUUCUAAGACUCCAUUUCAGUUGCUAACACCAGCCUUGAGAUGAGUUGUUUAUCAAGCUUGAUACACAACACUUUCACAGUCUUGAAGUGAAUAGCCUUGAGACAGCUCCUGCAACACUUGCAAUUGUCUCUUUCAGUUUCCUCCUUAGAGAAUUCCCCUGAACCACUUCAUUUUCUUCAUCUCACACCUUAGUGUCUUCUCUGAAAUUUUCAGAAAAAAACCUGCAACUCACUUUCAGAAAAUCCACAGUUCACAACUUGAAACCUGCAACUUGUUUCUGAAAUCCUUACCAAUCAGCCAGCUUCAAACCAAAUAUGUAAGACCCUUUUUUUACCUUCAGAUUAUAACCCAAUCUGAGCUGAACACCUGUUGAUAACCACCUGUUCUUGGCUUUCCCUUCUUCUUGAUACAAUGAACUUCCAUGAACCUUAAACAACAGUGAUAUCCAGCCUUUUAACUCCAUGCUACUGAGCUAAACACCCAGACAACCUCCACAAAUAGCUCCACCAGGAACCAUAACCAUUUGAGUUACAAUGUCUAUGUAAGCUCAGCCUCACUUCUCUGAGUUAAACUGUUCUUCUGUUCACUCACACUUUCUUAUGUAUUAGAGUGAGUUCCCAUGGCCUCUUUCUUGAGAAAACCGUACUAUAACUUGUAGCACAUCUUCUUCUUCAUGUAACCACUCCAUCUUAUUCAUAUGUACCCAAAGAACCACCAAGAACCUUCUUUUAUUUCCAGCAGCCUUGUCAUCUCUACUUGGAGCAUUCUUCAUAAUCUAAUAGUGCAACAACUUAAGCUGAUACGCCAUCAAAUCAUACCUCCAUCCUAGAAAACCAAAUCUUGUACUCUUCUUUAGCAAAAUCAACAUAUACAUAUCUUGCAUCGCUGUUCAAAUGAAUAGAACACGCCGCCUAACUCUCCUAGCUAGGAAGAAUUUCGACACGAGAAAAUAAUACGGUCAAUUGCGUACCAUCAUAUACUUCUUUUGUCGCUUGAAGAUCUGAUUCAAAACACAAGAUAACCACUGAGAAUUAAAUGCUCCACCCGAGAUAAGAACUCCUUGUUCUCUUACAUUCAUUCCAACAGAAUCAUCAUGUGUUAUACCAAACACAAAUCUGUAGAAUUUAUGAAUCUUUGCUACUGCCAUCUUGUCUCGAAAACAAGAACUCUUACGCUAUCCAGCUUACACCAAACAGUAGAUUUCCGGAGCCACACUGCAUUCCCUCUGAAAAUAGCAGCCUUGUAGCUUCACGAUCUCUAAAGAUCCACCAACUGAAGACUUUUAGAUUCACAAGAAUCUAACCAUUACCACUGAGACAGAACUCUGCAACAAAUCAUCACCCAAACUCAACCAACCACUGAAGUCUUGUCUUUAGAACUGAAUCCAGAAAACCCUUUUACAAAUACCCCACAGCCUAAUACUCAUAAAAAUUUCCAAGCUUCUAAGGCGUCCCUCAGUCCCAUGGAAUUCUAUGAGUUUCCGAGGCUGUGGUAACACUAGUAUUCGAAUACCAACUGUAAAAGACUGUACCAACCAGAUUCAAAACUCCAUGAAAAAACCAGCAUGAAACCCAAUACUGAAUCUUUUCAAUCUCUUGCGAUAACAGUGGAACGAGACUUGAAGCCUCCAAAUUUUGAGUCUUGAGAAAUAAGAAUGAUUCUGAUCCAAAGAUUGUAGUCAAAGAAAUCCGACUUACACGUUUCAAGGAUCUUAAUCAAACUUCAGCCGAUGAUGUUACUGUCUCUCUUCCUUUCCAAACAAGAGUAAACGAAGACACAAACUUGUGGCAUCGUCUUUCUUACUCACUGUAACCUCCAAUUUCUUUACAGAAAAUCAGAAUUUCUGGAUUUACCGGAAGAUAUCCGAGCCUUGCAAGCUCCAGUCUUCAAAUUUCUUUAGCUAAUUUGAGCUCCUUUCUUCUCGAGAACACUUUCUUCUUCAAUCGUCACUUCCUCCUCCGACGAGAAUCUCGAUAUGGUUUACCGAUCCAUCUUCGACUUCAUCGCCGAACCUAAUCGCUCCCAGUCAUAAAACCUCAACUUACGAUUUGACGAUUGCUUAUGUCGUGACUGUCUCUUAGCUUCAGCUUCAACACUUCCGAGAAAGAAGCAUCAAGAGAAACGUACCAUUGUUUCUCUUUCUGACUUUUGGGCAUUUAUGAACUUAGCCCAAAAAACAAAAUAUUCAUUAAUGGGAGGACAGGCCCAUCUUGGCCCAACUGAAGAAAGAAAAAAGAAUUUGUCGUGACCCAUCUUUUCUCUUCUUCUCACCGUCGCUCACCAUCAAACUUUCUCCGGUGAGAAUCUCGGUGCUCUCCGGUGACGCCUUGGUCACCACACCUCCGCGACUCUCUCUCACCGCGUGUCUCUUCCUCGACAGCGAAACCCGAAGCUUCUUCUCCGACUCGUUCUGCUUAUGACAGUGCCGUCUGCUCUUUCACGACGUCAUCGGAAGCUCGAGCCACUCCACCGUAAUCUCAGCCUUCUCCGGUAAGAAUCUCCACACUGUCUCUGUCAUCGAACUCUCUGAGAAUCACCUGAGCUCGUGACAAACAUCCUCUGUUAGCAUCCGAGAUUUCAACAGAAAUCUCUAUCUUCCUCCAUCUUCUCUCUCAAUGCUUCAGCAGAUCUAGUUCUUCUUAGAUGGACAAGACACGCCGUCUUCUUAUGAGAUAUAAUCUCUAAAUCCAUCGUUCUUCUCUAGAGCUGCACUUCCCGAAGCCAUUGCUUAUAAAGGUGUGAUCUUUCUUGACAAAGCUUACAUUUUCCUUGUAAAGCUUGAAUCUUUCUCACCGAAACUUGAAGAUUCUGGAUAAAGCUUGAGUCUUUCAGCACUAACCUGUGCUCUGAUACCAUUUGUUAAGGAUUCUUCGCCGACCUUAGACAGCCCUCAAGCUUUAUGCUAUGUCACACACACACCAAACAUCAUAACAGACCAAGCAAUAUAGAGAGAAAGAAGAAGAUAAAACAGAGCAGAGAAGAGGGAAGAAGAGAAGCACACAAACGAUUGUUCACCCUGAGUUCACCAAGUUGGCUACAUCUCAGGGGAGGGAGACUGUCCCCCAACUGCAUCCACUAAUAGAAGAAGAUAACAGAGAUUACAAGUGAUUCACUCUCAAGACUCACUCGUCGGCCACUCUCUGUUCUACUUGAGAAAAUCCCACCCAAAGCUUAAGCCUUUACAUGUUUUCUCUCACCCUUCUAUCUCCUAGAGCUACAUUGUGUCUAUCUUCUUGUGGCUUCCUAUCUCUCAUGUCUUCAUAUCACUUUAUAUAUGGGAGACAACCUCAAACCCUAGUGCAGCUAGCAAACGAGUCCUCAUCUUAUUCACAAGAGGACAAAGUAUCCUUCUUGACCAUGAAUUCAAAUGAUCCUCCUUGUGGUCCCAAAAGCUCUUCUAACUUUAGUUAAUAUAAUCAACCUUGGUUAGGACUUGAGUUUACCUUUGGUUUGCACAUGAUCCUUGUUUGGUUGCUCAUCAAGUUCUCAUAUCUUCACAGUUUCAAUUAUGUUCGAUUAGGUAGAGACUUUGCCAUAAACAGUUGAUCCAAAACCUUGAACAUACCUAAGGUUGGCUUAUCCUUUAUGAUUUUUUUUAUGAAGUUGCACUCCAAAACUUAAUAUGAUGGUAACUCUAGACUUUCAUUGCUUCUUCUUUAGAGCUUAAUUUGUCUUCUUUUUUUACUUGAUGUGUCCCUUGUCAUGUCUUAGCCAUCUAGAGUCUUCUGAGUUAACUCUUUGCUUUGUCUUGCGUUUAAUUUUUUUUUCUCUUUUCUUGUAC
RNAcentral lists this long non-coding RNA (5506 nucleotides) under Arabidopsis lyrata. RNAcentral describes it as "long non-coding RNA (ALYR_LNC003134)". Lineage: Eukaryota; Viridiplantae; Streptophyta; Magnoliopsida; Brassicales; Brassicaceae. The record is from RNAcentral.